RNAcentral lists this transfer RNA (101 nucleotides) under Hydnomerulius pinastri MD-312. It matches the Rfam family "tRNA". From Rfam's summary of the family: Transfer RNA (tRNA) molecules are approximately 80 nucleotides in length. Their secondary structure includes four short double-helical elements and three loops (D, anti-codon, and T loops). Further hydrogen bonds mediate the characteristic L-shaped molecular structure. tRNAs have two regions of fundamental functional importance: the anti-codon, which is responsible for specific mRNA codon recognition, and the 3' end, to which the tRNAs corresponding amino acid is attached (by aminoacyl-tRNA synthetases). tRNAs cope with the degeneracy of the genetic code in two manners: having more than one tRNA (with a specific anti-codon) for a particular amino acid; and 'wobble' base-pairing, i.e. permitting non-standard base-pairing at the 3rd anti-codon position. The record is from Rfam by way of RNAcentral. Lineage: Eukaryota; Fungi; Basidiomycota; Agaricomycetes; Boletales.
GCCCGCCUAGCUCAAUCGGAUAGAGCGUCAGACUCUUAGGCGGGGUGAACCUGUUCAGUUAGGCGAUCUGAAGGCUGCGAGUUCGACCCUCGCGGUGGGCU